GAGAUGAAAAUAAUGAAGUUGC
This 22-nucleotide non-coding RNA is filed under the name Arabidopsis thaliana (thale cress). The record is from RNAcentral. Lineage: Eukaryota; Viridiplantae; Streptophyta; Magnoliopsida; Brassicales; Brassicaceae.